UACGGAGGGUGCAAGCGUUAUCCGGAUUCACUGGGCUUAAAGGGUGCGUAGGUGGGUUGGUAAGUCAGUGGUGAAAUCUCCAGGCUUAACUUGGAAACUGCCAUUGAUACUAUCAAUCUUGAAUACCGUGGAGGUCAGCGGAAUAUGUCAUGUAGCGGUGAAAUGCUUAGAUAUGACAUAGAACACCAAUCGCGAAGGCAGCUGGCUACACGAAUAUUGACACUGAUGCACGAAAGCGUGGGGAUCAAACAGG
RNAcentral lists this ribosomal RNA (253 nucleotides) under uncultured bacterium. Its description in RNAcentral is "partial 16S ribosomal RNA". It matches the Rfam family "Bacterial small subunit ribosomal RNA", at positions 524 to 776 of the family's 1533-position model. The record is from RNAcentral.